AGUAAGGUCAGCUAAAUAAGCUUUUGGGCCCAUACUCCAAAUAUGUUGGUUA
This 52-nucleotide transfer RNA is filed under the name Coregonus sardinella (least cisco). RNAcentral describes it as "partial tRNA-Met". Lineage: Eukaryota; Metazoa; Chordata; Actinopteri; Salmoniformes; Salmonidae. The record is from RNAcentral.